GGGGGGGGGGGGGGUGUCCCCCCCCCGGGGGGAAAAAGGGAGAGAAAAAAAAGCCCCCCUCCGUGACCCCUUUUUUUUUAAAUUCCUUACACCCCAUAAACCAUUUAAAUUUUUUUAGGUGGGGGGAAAAGGGGGGGAGCCCUUUGAAGCACGGGGCCCCCCCUGCAAUUGUGGGAGGGGGCCCCUUUAAAUAACCCCCCCUUUAUACGUUUGAGUUUUUAAACGAAAAGGGCGAAAACGGGGUUUUGGAACAGGGUUUUGGGGGAAGUUUGGAUGGGGGGGUUUUCCUUCCAAAAGGGAAAGGGAGGAGCCCGGAAGGUUUGCUAAUCCCGUUCGGAAUUGUGAAGGUUAGUGCCAUGGUAUAAGCAAACUUUAACUGCGAGACAGCCAAGUUGAGCAGGUACGAAAGUAGGUCAUAGUGAUCCGGUGGUUCUGAAUGAAAGGGCCCAUCGCUCAACGGAUAAAAGGUACUCCGGGGAUAACAGGCUGAUACCCGCCCCAAGAGUUCAUAUCGACGGCGGUGUUUGGCACCUCGAUGUCGGCUCAUCACAUCCUGGGGCUGAAGUAGGUCCCAAGGGUAUGGCUGUUCGCCAUUUAAAGUGGUACGCGAGCUGGGUUUUAGAACGUCGUGAGACAGUUUCGGUCCCUAUCUGCCGUGGGCGUAGGAGAAUUGGUUGGGGCUGCUCCUAGUACGAGAGGACCGGAGUGGACGCACCACUGGUGUUCCGGUUGUGUCGCCAGACGCAUUGCCGGGUAGCUAAGUGCGGAAGAGAUAAGUGCUGAAAGCAUCUAAGCACGAAACUUGCCAAGAGAUGAGUUCUCCCAAUCUAAGAGAUAGUAAGGGUUGUUGUAGACUACGACGUAGAUAGGUCUGGUGUGUAAGUGUAGUGAUACAUUGAGCUAACAGAUACUAAUUGCCCGAGAGGCUUAACU
This 933-nucleotide ribosomal RNA is filed under the name Haemophilus influenzae 6P18H1. RNAcentral's name for it is "partial 23S ribosomal RNA". It matches the Rfam family "Bacterial large subunit ribosomal RNA", at positions 2144 to 2925 of the family's 2925-position model. Lineage: Bacteria; Pseudomonadati; Pseudomonadota; Gammaproteobacteria; Pasteurellales; Pasteurellaceae. The record is from RNAcentral.